GUGUCAGCAGCCGCGGUAAUACGAAGGGGGCUAGCGUUGCUCGGAAUUACUGGGCGUAAAGGGAGCGUAGGCGGAUAGUUCAGUCAGAGGUGAAAGCCCAGGGCUCAACCUUGGAACUGCCUUUGAUACUGGCUAUCUUGAGUUUGGGAGAGGUGUGUGGAACUCCGAGUGUAGAGGUGAAAUUCGUAGAUAUUCGGAAGAACACCAGUGGCGAAGGCGACACACUGGCCCAAUACUGACGCUGAGGCUCGAAAGCGUGGGGAGCAAACAGGAUUAGAUACCCUAGUAGUCC
Molecule: ribosomal RNA, 292 nt
Filed under: uncultured bacterium
Lineage: Bacteria
Description: partial 16S ribosomal RNA
Rfam family: Bacterial small subunit ribosomal RNA
Source: RNAcentral